GAUGAACGCUGGCGGCGUGCUUAACACAUGCAAGUCGAACGAAGCAUUUGCGACAGAUUUUUUCGGAAAGAAGUUGCUUAUGACUGAGUGGCGGACGGGUGAGUAACGCGUGGGUAACCUGCCUUGUACUGGGGGAUAGCAGCUGGAAACGGCUGGUAAUACCGCAUAAGCGCACAAUGUUGCAUGACAUGGUGUGAAAAACUCCGGUGGUAUAAGAUGGACCCGCGUCUGAUUAGCUAGUUGGUGAGAUAACAGCCCACCAAGGCGACGAUCAGUAGCCGAACUGAGAGGGUGACCGGCCACAUUGGGACUGAGACACGGCCCAGACUCCUACGGGAGGCAGCAGUGGGGAAUAUUGCACAAUGGAGGAAACUCUGAUGCAGCGACGCCGCGUGAGUGAAGAAGUAAUUCGUUAUGUAAAGCUCUAUCAGCAGGGAAGAUAGUGACGGUACCUGACUAAGAAGCUCCGGCUAAAUACGUG
This 481-nucleotide ribosomal RNA is filed under the name uncultured bacterium. RNAcentral's name for it is "partial 16S ribosomal RNA". It matches the Rfam family "Bacterial small subunit ribosomal RNA", at positions 28 to 507 of the family's 1533-position model. The record is from RNAcentral.